GACGAACGCUGGCGGCGUGCUUAACACAUGCAAGUCGAACGGAAAGGCCCUGCUUUUGUGGGGUGCUCGAGUGGCGAACGGGUGAGUAACACGUGAGUAACCUGCCCUUGACUUUGGGAUAACUUCAGGAAACUGGGGCUAAUACCGGAUAGGAGCUCCUGCUGCAUGGUGGGGGUUGGAAAGUUUCGGCGGUUGGGGAUGGACUCGCGGCUUAUCAGCUUGUUGGUGGGGUAGUGGCUUACCAAGGCUUUGACGGGUAGCCGGCCUGAGAGGGUGACCGGCCAAAUGGGGACUGGGACACGGCCCAGACCCCUACGGGGGGCAGCAGGGGGGAAUUUUGCAAAAUGGGCGGAAGCCUGAUGCAGCAACGCCGCGUGGGGGAUGACGGCCUUCGGGUGGUAAACCGCUUUCGCCUGGGACGAAGGGUGGGUGGCGGGAAUGGGGAAAGAAGCACCGGCUAACUACGU
RNAcentral lists this ribosomal RNA (467 nucleotides) under uncultured bacterium. RNAcentral describes it as "partial 16S ribosomal RNA". It matches the Rfam family "Bacterial small subunit ribosomal RNA", at positions 28 to 506 of the family's 1533-position model. The record is from RNAcentral.